Long non-coding RNA from Oncorhynchus nerka (sockeye salmon), 364 nucleotides. RefSeq lists it as uncharacterized. The transcript has 3 exons. The record is from RefSeq and is a predicted model, not a curated record. Lineage: Eukaryota; Metazoa; Chordata; Actinopteri; Salmoniformes; Salmonidae.
UAUCUGUCUCAUUGUUCUAUCUGUGUCGGAAUAUCUUCUUGACAUGCCCGUGGAAGACUGGAGCCCAAAUCCUAUGAACUCAAAUCAGGUAGAGCCACCUAGCGGUGAGUCUGUGCAGACGGGGACAAGCACAGUUGCAGCUGCUGCAUCGCGCAGUUAAUCAAGUUGAUAUCAGUCCGUUCUGAGAAGUAAACUAUUGGAAGAGGCCUGCAAACGAGUGACUUGGACGAAAGUGCGCUGUGCCAUGGCGUCAGUGCGUGUGGCUGUCCGUGUAAGACCCUUGAUCAAGAGAGAAAAGGAAGUGUCUGCGAAGGUCAUUAUCCACAUGGAGGGGAGCACCACUUCUAUAGAUUGCAACAAAAAG